CCUACGGGAGGCAGCAGUGAGGAAUAUUGGUCAAUGGACGAGAGUCUGAACCAGCCAAGCCGCGUGAAGGAUGACUGCCCUAUGGGUUGUAAACUUCUUUUGUCUGGGGAUAAACCCAGGUACGCAUACCCUCUUGUAUGUACCAUAUGAAUAAGGAUCGGCUAACUCCGUGCCAGCAGCCGCGGUAAUACGGAGGAUCCGAGCGUUAUCCGGAUUUAUUGGGUUUAAAGGGUGCGUAGGUGGUUUGUUAAGUCAGUUGUGAAAGCUCGAGGCUCAACAGCAGAAGUGCAGUUGAUACUGUUAGUCUAGAGAAUAGGAGAGGUAGGCGGAAUGUGUGGUGUAGCGGUGAAAUGCUUAGAGAUCAUGCAGAACUCCGAUUGCGAAGGCAGCUUACCGGACUCCAACUGACACUGAGGCACGAAAGCGUGGGGAGCAAACAGGAUUAGAUACCCCAGUAGUC
RNAcentral lists this ribosomal RNA (460 nucleotides) under uncultured bacterium. Its description in RNAcentral is "partial 16S ribosomal RNA". It matches the Rfam family "Bacterial small subunit ribosomal RNA", at positions 338 to 795 of the family's 1533-position model. The record is from RNAcentral.